Molecule: transfer RNA, 79 nt
Filed under: Actinomycetospora sp. NBRC 106375
Lineage: Bacteria; Bacillati; Actinomycetota; Actinomycetes; Pseudonocardiales; Pseudonocardiaceae
Description: tRNA-Gln
Source: RNAcentral
AGCGUGCACGGCUCGGCCGACGAGGCCUGGGGCGCUCUGGACGUCCUGGUGCGCGGGCGUUCCCGCCGCUGGCGCGCCC